ACGAACUCUGGUAUUGAUUGGUGCUUGCAUCAUGAUUUACAUUUGAGUGAGUGGCGAACUGGUGAGUAACACGUGGGAAACCUGCCCAUAAGCGGGGGAUAACACCUGGAAACAGAUGCUAAUACCGCAUAACAACUUGGACCGCAUGGUCCGAGUUUGAAAGAUGGCUUCGGCUAUCACUUUUGGAUGGUCCCGCGGCGUAUUAGCUAGAUGGUGAGGUAACGGCUCACCAUGGCAAUGAUACGUAGCCGACCUGAGAGGGUAAUCGGCCACAUUGGGACUGAGACACGGCCCAAACUCCUACGGGAGGCAGCAGUAGGGAAUCUUCCACAAUGGACGAAAGUCUGAUGGAGCAACGCCGCGUGAGUGAAGAAGGGUUUCGGCUCGUAAAACUCUGUUGUUAAAGAAGAACAUAUCUGAGAGUAACUGUUCAGGUAUUGACGGUAUUUAACCAGAAAGCCACGGCUAACUACGUGCCAGCAGCCGCGGUAAUACGUAGGUGGCAAGCGUUGUCCGGAUUUAUUGGGCGUAAAGCGAGCGCAGGCGGUUUUUUAAGUCUGAUGUGAAAGCCUUCGGCUCAACCGAAGAAGUGCAUCGGAAACUGGGGAACUUGAGUGCAGAAGAGGACAGUGGAACUCCAUGUGUAGCGGUGAAAUGCGUAGAUAUAUGGAAGAACACCAGUGGCGAAGGCGGCUGUCUGGUCUGUAACUGACGCUGAGGCUCGAAAGUAUGGGUAGCAAACAGGAUUAGAUACCCUGGUAGUCCAUACCGUAAACGAUGAAUGCUAAGUGUUGGAGGGUUUCCGCCCUUCAGUGCUGCAGCUAACGCAUUAAGCAUUCCGCCUGGGGAGUACGGCCGCAAGGCUGAAACUCAAAGGAAUUGACGGGGGCC
This 891-nucleotide ribosomal RNA is filed under the name uncultured bacterium. RNAcentral's name for it is "bacterial SSU rRNA". It matches the Rfam family "Bacterial small subunit ribosomal RNA", at positions 66 to 921 of the family's 1533-position model. The record is from RNAcentral.